This 1220-nucleotide long non-coding RNA is filed under the name Prunus persica (peach). Its description in RNAcentral is "long non-coding RNA (PPER_LNC005535)". Lineage: Eukaryota; Viridiplantae; Streptophyta; Magnoliopsida; Rosales; Rosaceae. The record is from RNAcentral.
AAUUACGUCAAUUCCAGUGUAUCACCACAAAUUAUAGGCGACUGAAUCAUCAGGGAAAAAAAUAAUAAUAAUAAUUCCGCCCAGGCGGCCUAGGCGGCUCUGGGGUUUUUUUUUUUUUUUUUGGUCUGACUUUAAAGAAAACCCUCACGCUGUCACCUCCUUUACCCUACUCCAGCAGCCUCACCAUCCCCAAAACCUAGCAAUUUACUUUCAUAUUCCCUCUCCUCCAUGACCACAAAGUGACAGAGCCAAAUGGCUGUUCUUCAAGACCAGAAACCGAGCUCCUCUUGUCCAAUACUUGUCCGCUUCAUAUUUCAAAAGGAAGAGCACCAACUAUAAACAAUUACGCCAAUUCCAGUGUAUCACCACAAAUUAUAGGCGACUGAAUCAUCAUGGAAAAAAAAAAAAAAAAAAAAAUUCCGCCUAGGCGGCCUAGGCGGCUCUGGGCGGUUUUUAUUUCUUUCUGACUUUAAAGAAAACCCUCACGCUGUCACCUCCUUUACCCUACUCCAGCAAAGUCACCAUCCCCAAAACCUAGCAAUUUACUUUCAUAUUCCCUCUCUUCCAUGACCACAAAGUGACAGAGCCAAAUGGCUGUUCUUCAAGACCAGAAACCGAGCUCCUCUUGUCCCAUACUUGUCCGCUUCAUAUUUCAAAAGGAAGAGCACCAACUAUAAACAAUUACGCCAAUUCCAGUGUAUCACCACAAAUUAGGCGACUGAAUCAUCAGGAAAAAAAAAAAAAAAAAAAUUUUCCGCCUAGGCGGCCUAGGCGGCUCUGGGCGGUUUUUAUUUCUUUCUGACUUUAAAGAAAACCCUCACGCUGUCACCUCCUUUACCCUACUCCAGCAAAGUCACCAUCCCCAAAACCUAGCAAUUUACUUUCAUAUUCCCUCUCUUCCAUGACCACAAAGUGACAGAGCCAAAUGGCUGUUCUUCAAGACCAGAAACCGAGCUCCUCUUGUCCCAUACUUGUCCGCUUCAUAUUUCAAAAGGAAGAGCACCAACUAUAAACACUACGCCAAUUCCAGUGUAUCACCACAAAUUAUAGGCGACUGAAUCAUCAGGGAGGAAAAAAAAAAAAAAAAAUUCCGCCUAGGCGGCUCUGGGCGGUUUUUUUUUUUUUAUUUAUUUAAUAAAUUUAAAUUUAAAUUUAUUUAUUUAUUCUGACUUUAAAGAAAACCCUCACGCUGUCACCUCCGUUACCCUACUCCAGCAAAG